UACGGGGGGAGCAAGCGUCGUUCGGAUUUACUGGGCGUAAAGGGCGCGUAGGCGGCCACCGCAAGUCGACUGUGAAAUCUCCGGGCUUAACCCGGAAAGGUCAGCCGAUACUGCGGGGCUAGAGUGCAGAAGGGGCAACUGGAAUUCUCGGUGUAGCGGUGAACUGCGUAGAUAUCGAGAGGAACACCUGCGGCGAAGGCGGGUUGCUGGGCUGACACUGACGCUGAGGCGCGAAAGCUAGGGGAGCGAACGGG
Molecule: ribosomal RNA, 254 nt
Filed under: uncultured bacterium
Lineage: Bacteria
Description: partial 16S ribosomal RNA
Rfam family: Bacterial small subunit ribosomal RNA
Source: RNAcentral